This 253-nucleotide ribosomal RNA is filed under the name uncultured bacterium. RNAcentral describes it as "partial 16S ribosomal RNA". It matches the Rfam family "Bacterial small subunit ribosomal RNA", at positions 524 to 776 of the family's 1533-position model. The record is from RNAcentral.
UACGUAGGUGGCAAGCGUUAUCCGGAAUUAUUGGGCGUAAAGCGCGCGCAGGCGGUUUCUUAAGUCUGAUGUGAAAGCCCACGGCUCAACCGUGGAGGGUCAUUGGAAACUGGGGAACUUGAGUGCAGAAGAGAAAAGCGGAAUUCCACGUGUAGCGGUGAAAUGCGUAGAGAUGUGGAGGAACACCAGUGGCGAAGGAGGCUUUUUGGUCUGUAACUGACGCUGAGGCGCGAAAGCGUGGGGAGCAAACAGG